RNAcentral lists this unclassified non-coding RNA (411 nucleotides) under Hevea brasiliensis (rubber tree). The record is from RNAcentral. Lineage: Eukaryota; Viridiplantae; Streptophyta; Magnoliopsida; Malpighiales; Euphorbiaceae.
GGGUCUAUAAAGUUAGCACCAAACUCAUAGUGGGCGGUAGGGAUUUUGAUAGUUUCAUCUGCAGAUUGAGAAGGAAGUUCCAUAGGUCCCAUAAAAACGCUGUGACUAAGAGAGAAUUUCUGAUUAAGUCCCUUGGUAAAAUCAAAGCGCAUCCCCUCAAAAAGCUCUGGCUUUAAAGACAUAAGAGCUUCACGAUGGAGUUCUUCAUAGGGAAUAGGGCAAGGAAGGUUCAUAAAAUCGACUUUCUUCCCAACAUCAUUGAUCUUCUUGGCUGAUGCUGCAGCAGAUGCCUCGCCUAGCAUCGCCGUACCUGGAGGUACCAUCCCCGCCAUUGCAGUUUGUGAGCUUCAAUUGGACAAAUAAGAGGAACAGAGAGGAGUGAGAUAUGAAGACGGGAGACCAAGAGAGACG